RNAcentral lists this ribosomal RNA (301 nucleotides) under uncultured bacterium. Its description in RNAcentral is "partial 16S ribosomal RNA". It matches the Rfam family "Bacterial small subunit ribosomal RNA", at positions 509 to 807 of the family's 1533-position model. The record is from RNAcentral.
CAGUAGCCGCGGGAAUACGUAGGGCGCAAGCGUUGUCCGGAAUUAUUGGGCGUAAAGAGCUCGUAGGCGGUCUGUCGCGUCUGGUGUGAAAUCCCGAGGCUCAACCUCGGGCUUGCAUCGGGUACGGGCAGACUAGAGUGCGGUAGGGGAGACUGGAAUUCCUGGUGUAGCGGUGGAAUGCGCAGAUAUCAGGAGGAACACCGAUGGCGAAGGCAGGUCUCUGGGCCGCAACUGACGCUGAGGAGCGAAAGCAUGGGGAGCGAACAGGAUUAGAUACCCCUGUAGUCCCUGUCUCUUAUAC